RNAcentral lists this ribosomal RNA (254 nucleotides) under uncultured bacterium. RNAcentral describes it as "partial 16S ribosomal RNA". It matches the Rfam family "Bacterial small subunit ribosomal RNA", at positions 524 to 776 of the family's 1533-position model. The record is from RNAcentral.
UACGGGGGGAGCAAGCGUUGUUCGGAUUUACUGGGCGUAAAGGGCGCGUAGGCGGUCGUGACAAGUCACUUGUGAAAUCUCCGGGCUUAACUCGGAACGGUCAAGUGAUACUGUCGUGCUAGAGUACAGAAGGGGCAACUGGAAUUCCUGGUGUAGCGGUGGAAUGCGCAGAUAUCAGGAGGAACACCGGUGGCGAAGGCGGGAUCCUGGGCCAGUACUGACGCUGAGGAGCGAAAGCGUGGGGAGCAAACAGG